AAUUGGAGGGCAAGUCUGGUGCCAGCAGCCGCGGUAAUUCCAGCUCCAAUAGCGUAUAUUAAAGUUGUUGCAGUUAAAAAGCUCGUAGUUGAAUUUCGGGAUUGACACAUCGGUCGUGCCUUAAGGGGUAUGAACUGGUGUAGUCAAUUUCUCACCUUCUGGAGAACCGCGAUGCCCUUAAUUGGGUGUCACGGGGAACCAGGACCUUUACUUUGAAAAAAUUAGAGUGUUUAAAGCAGGCAUUUUGCUUGAAUACAUUAGUAUGGAAUAAUAAAAUAGGACGGCAUGAUUCUAUUUUGUUGGUUUCUAGGAUCACCGUAAUGAUUAAUAGGGAUAGUUGGGGGCAUUAGUAUUCAAUUGUCAGAGGUGAAAUUCUUGGAUUUAUUGAAGACUAACUACUGCGAAAGCAUUUGCCAAGGAUGUUUUCAUUAAUCAAGAACGAAAGUUAGGGGAUCGAAGACGAUCAGAUACCGUCGUAGUCUUAACCAUAAACUAUGCCGACUAGGAAUCAGACGAUGUUAAUUUUUUAAUGACUCGUUUGGCACCUUACGGGAAACCAAAGUGU
This 565-nucleotide ribosomal RNA is filed under the name uncultured Glomus. Its description in RNAcentral is "SSU rRNA". It matches the Rfam family "Eukaryotic small subunit ribosomal RNA", at positions 546 to 1106 of the family's 1831-position model. The record is from RNAcentral. Lineage: Eukaryota; Fungi; Glomeromycota; Glomeromycetes; Glomerales; Glomeraceae.